CAGCAGCCGCGGUAAUACGAAGGGUGCAAGCGUUAAUCGGAAUUACUGGGCGUAAAGCGUGCGUAGGCGGUGAGUUAAGUCUGCUGUGAAAUCCCCGGGCUCAACCUGGGAAUGGCAGUGGAUACUGGCUCGCUAGAGUGUGUCAGAGGAUGGUGGAAUUCCCGGUGUAGCGGUGAAAUGCGUAGAGAUCGGGAGGAACAUCAGUGGCGAAGGCGGCCAUCCGGGACAACACUGACGCUGAGGCACGAAAGCGUGGGGAGCAAACAGGAUUAGAUACCCCCGUAGUCCCUGUCUCUUAUAC
This 301-nucleotide ribosomal RNA is filed under the name uncultured bacterium. Its description in RNAcentral is "partial 16S ribosomal RNA". It matches the Rfam family "Bacterial small subunit ribosomal RNA", at positions 509 to 807 of the family's 1533-position model. The record is from RNAcentral.